CAUUCAGUGGCAAGCUUAACCGAAUAGGGAAGGCGUAGGGAAACCGAGUCCGAAUAGGGCGAUUCAGUCGCUGGGUGUAGACCCGAAACCAAGUGAUCUAUCCAUGGCCAGGAUGAAGGUGCCGUAACAGGUACUGGAGGUCCGAACCGACUAAUGUUGCAAAAUUAGCGGAUGAGCUGUGGAUAGGGGUGAAAGGCUAAACAAACUUGGAGAUAGCUGGUUCUCUCCGAAAACUAUUUAGGUAGUGCCUCAAGUAUUACCUGCGGGGGUAGAGCACUGUUUUGGCUAGGGGGUCAUGGCGACUUACCAAACCAAGGCAAACUCCGAAUACCGCAGAGUACAGCUUGGGAGACAGAGCACCGGGUGCUAACGUCCGGACUCAAGAGGGAAACAACCCAGACCGCCAGCUAAGGUCCCUAAAAUUGGCUAAGUGGGAAACGAAGUGGGAAGGCUAAAACAGUCAGGAUGUUGGCUUAGAAGCAGCCAUCAUUUAAAGAAAGCGUAAUAGCUCACUGAUCGAGUCGUCCUGCGCGGAAGAUGUAACGGGGCUAAGCCAGUUACCGAAGCUGCGGAUUUGCAAUUUAUUGCAAGUGGUAGGAGAGCGUUCUGUAAGCCUGUGAAGGUGUCUUGUGAAGGAUGCUGGAGGUAUCAGAAGUGCGAAUGCUGACAUGAGUAGCGUUAAAGGGGGUGAAAAGCCCCCUCGCCGUAAGCGCAAGGUUUCCUACGCAACGUUCAUCGGCGUAGGGUGAGUCGGCCCCUAAGGUGAGGCAGAGAUGCGUAGCUGAUGGGAAACAGGUCAAUAUUCCUGUACCGAUUACAAGUGCGAUGUGGGGACGGAGAAGGUUAGCUCAGCCAACUGUUGGAUAUGUUGGUUCAAGCCUGUAGUCAUGCCUGGUAGGCAAAUCCGCCGGGCUUAGAUGAGGGGUGAUAACGAGUCUGCUUGCAGACGAAGUGAGUGAUACCCUGCUUCCAGGAAAAGCCACUAAGCUUCAGCUUGUAAUUGACCGUACCGCAAACCGACACUGGUGCGCGAGAUGAGUAUUCUAAGGCGCUUGAGAGAACUCUGGAGAAGGAACUCGGCAAAUUGACACCGUAACUUCGGGAGAAGGUGUGCCCUCAGUAGGUGAACCUGUACAAGGGGAGCCCAAAGGGGUUGCAAAGAAUAGGUGGCUGCGACUGUUUAUUAAAAACACAGCACUCUGCAAACACGAAAGUGGACGUAUAGGGUGUGACGCCUGCCCGGUGCUGGAAGAUUAAUUGAUGGGGUGCAA
This 1271-nucleotide ribosomal RNA is filed under the name Methylophilales bacterium BACL14 MAG-120920-bin58. RNAcentral's name for it is "bacterial LSU rRNA". It matches the Rfam family "Bacterial large subunit ribosomal RNA", at positions 631 to 1896 of the family's 2925-position model. Lineage: Bacteria; Pseudomonadati; Pseudomonadota; Betaproteobacteria; Nitrosomonadales. The record is from RNAcentral.